GUGCUUGCUUAGGCAGUACAGUUGCUAAGACUGGAACAACUCAGAAGAUUAGCAUGGCCCUGUGCAAGGAUGACAUGUAAAUUAGUGAAGCGAUUUGUAUUUUU
This is a small nuclear RNA of Trichosurus vulpecula (common brushtail), 104 nucleotides long. Lineage: Eukaryota; Metazoa; Chordata; Mammalia; Diprotodontia; Phalangeridae. The record is from RefSeq and is a predicted model, not a curated record.